AGAGUUUGAUCCUGGCUCAGAACGAACGCUGGCGGUAUGCCUAACACAUGCAAGUCGAACGCGAACGGAGUCUUCGGAUUCCAAGUAGAGUGGCGCACGGGUGAGUAACACGUGGAUAACCUGCCCUAGAGUCUGGGAUAACACUUCGAAAGGGGUGCUAAUACCGGAUAAGCCCACACAACCUUCGGGGCGAGUGGGAAAAGAUUUAUUGCUCUAGGAUGGGUCCGCGGUCCAUUAGCUAGUUGGUGGGGUAAUGGCCUACCAAGGCUGCGAUGGAUAGCUGGUCUGAGAGGAUGAUCAGCCACACUGGAACUGAGACACGGUCCAGACUCCUACGGGAGGCAGCAGUGGGGAAUUUUGCGCAAUGGGGGAAACCCUGACGCAGCAAUACCGCGUGAAGGAUGAAGGCCCUUGGGUCGUAAACUUCUGUCAGAGGGGAAGAAAUACUCGCAAGAGUGCUGACGGUACCCUCAAAGGAAGCACCGGCUAACUCCGUGCCAGCAGCCGCGGUAAUACGGAGGGUGCAAGCGUUGUUCGGAAUUAUUGGGCGUAAAGAGCAUGUACGCGGUUUGUUAAGUCUGGUGUGAAAGCCCGGGGCUCAACCCCGGAAGUGCAUUGGAUACUGGCAGACUUGAGUAUGGGAGAGGGAAGUGGA
Molecule: ribosomal RNA, 655 nt
Filed under: uncultured bacterium
Lineage: Bacteria
Description: bacterial SSU rRNA
Rfam family: Bacterial small subunit ribosomal RNA
Source: RNAcentral